RNAcentral lists this ribosomal RNA (588 nucleotides) under uncultured bacterium. Its description in RNAcentral is "bacterial SSU rRNA". It matches the Rfam family "Bacterial small subunit ribosomal RNA", at positions 202 to 809 of the family's 1533-position model. The record is from RNAcentral.
AAAAACUCCGGUGGUAUGGGAUGGACCCGCGUCUGAUUAGCCAGUUGGCAGGGUAACGGCCUACCAAAGCGACGAUCAGUAGCCGGCCUGAGAGGGUGGACGGCCACAUUGGGACUGAGACACGGCCCAAACUCCUACGGGAGGCAGCAGUGGGGAAUAUUGCACAAUGGGGGAAACCCUGAUGCAGCGACGCCGCGUGAGUGAAGAAGUAUUUCGGUAUGUAAAGCUCUAUCAGCAGGAACGAGACAAGACGGUACCUGACUAAGAAGCCCCGGCUAACUACGUGCCAGCAGCCGCGGUAAUACGUAGGGGGCAAGCGUUAUCCGGAAUCACUGGGUGUAAAGGGAGCGUAGACGGCUGUGCAAGCCUGAAGUGAAAGGCGGGGGCCCAACCCCUGGACUGCUUUGGGAACUGUACGGCUGGAGUGCAGGAGAGGUAAGUGGAAUUCCUAGUGUAGCGGUGAAAUGCGUAGAUAUUAGGAGGAACACCAGUGGCGAAGGCGGCUUACUGGACUGUAACUGACGUUGAGGCUCGAAAGCGUGGGGAGCAAACAGAAUUAGAUACCCUGGUAGUCCACGCCGUAAACGA